UAAAAGAGUGGUUAAAUUGGCUUCGAAAUUACAUUGGUUAUGAUGGGUGGCGCCUCGACUUUGUGAGGGGCUUCUCAGGUUCUUAUGUAAAAGAAUAUAUUGAAGCUUCAAAUCCUGCAUUUGCUAUUGGAGAAUAUUGGGAUAGUUUAGGUUAUGAGCAUGGCGACUUGUGUUACAACCAAGGUAAGAACUUAAGGCCCGAAAGAAACUCUUCACUUAAGGAUUUUAGCUGUUAUGUUUGCUCAAUGUUGAGAGAUCUGUGUGCAUUCACAUACAGUUUAUUUACCUGCUACCUCACUGUUUUCAGGGUGGCAUUUUUUUUUUUUUAAUUUUUUUUUCAAGUUCCUACAAACUUGUUGAAUUGAUCUUCCAGAUUGGGGCAUAGAAUACAAGAUUUCUAAAAUACCAUGUUUGAUUAUUCAUCUGGGGUCUAGAUGUCUGGAGACUAUUUUGGCUACCCAAGAUGGGUUAAGAUUUUGAUCUUGCUCUACCAAUACGUACGUGGACCUAGAAUUAUUUUACAAAACAAUGAGUUAGAAAUUGAAGCAAGGGAACCUGAAUCAUGUCAUUUAUGUCAUGCACUAUUUGUUAGGCAGCUAGAAAAGAUCAGUUUACUUUAUAUAAGAUACACUCUUUUAUUUAUUUAUUUACUUUUGUGCGUGUGGGGAUGGAACACUCAAAUUAUAGAUGAUCAUAGGCAAAGGAUAGUCAAUUGGAUCAAUGCCACAGGGGGUACUUCAUCAGCAUUUGAUGUCACAACAAAGGUGAUGUUUCUGCUUUCUCAAGUUUCUCAUAAUAUCUAUUUUAAUUUCCCAGAUAUUUCAUUUCUUAUUUUACUUAUUUUCAAUGAAAGAUGUAAACUCUUGAGGUAUUGCCCUUGUGCAGGGAAUCCUCUACUCUGCUCUGCAUAAUCAAUACUGGAGAUUGAUAUAUCCUCAAGGCAAACCAACUGGAGUUAUGGGAUGGUGGCCUUCGCGUGCUGUCACAUUUCUAGAGAACCAUGAUACAGGAUCAACACAGGGUCACUGGCCAUUUCCACGAGAUAAGCUUGCACAGGGAUAUGCCUAUAUUCUGACCCAUCCUGGAACAGUAAG
Humulus lupulus (European hop) is the source of this 1094-nucleotide long non-coding RNA. RefSeq lists it as uncharacterized. NCBI's taxonomy places the organism in Eukaryota, Viridiplantae, Streptophyta, Magnoliopsida, Rosales, Cannabaceae. The record is from RefSeq and is a predicted model, not a curated record. The transcript has 3 exons.